This 1728-nucleotide long non-coding RNA is filed under the name Canis lupus familiaris (dog). RNAcentral describes it as "lncRNA (ENSCAFG00040012514.1)". Lineage: Eukaryota; Metazoa; Chordata; Mammalia; Carnivora; Canidae. The record is from RNAcentral.
AUGUCAGUCGAAGAGGCUGGCAACGUCAGAAAUGCGGUGCCAGCAGGGCCCUCUCGAAAGGGCGGCGGGCGGGCGUGCAGUCCAAGGCUUCGGCCUCCAGGCUUUCUCCAAGGAUCAAAGUUCCCAGCCCCGGUUCUCCGUGGGCACAGCCACAGCCACGGCCACAGCCACAGCCACACACACACACACACACACGCGCGCGCGCGCGCACACUCGGCCUCGGGGUCCGCCACACAGCCCUCGCCCUCCCGGGUGCGCGGCGCGGCGCGGCGAGGCAGGCCGACCCCGGGAGGCGGCCCGUCUGCAAGGGGACCAGGGCAGGGCCCCCGCGGCCUCGCCAGGUCGGCGGAUUCCACCGCCCGAGAGUUUGGCGGCUUCACAAUGGGGCCGCCCGCCUGGCCCCCGGCCCCAAGCCCGCCCGGCGCUCUCCCCCCGCCCCAAGCCCGCCCGCGACAGGUGGGGGGGACGCCCGGCGGCCAGUCCGCGCCCCCCCCGCCCCCCCCCCCGGCACCGGCCCGGCCGCCCCCCCGCGCGCCCCCGCAGUCCCCCCCCCGCCGCACGCUCCCCCGCCGCACACUCACCCGCUGCACACUCACGGCGCCGGCCCCACCCCUGGGCCGAGCAGCCGCGGCUCCCCGCACCCCGCUCCCCGCACCGGCCCCACCCAGCUCCCCACACCCCGGCGUCCCGCCCGCCCGGCGCCCCGGGACCUGCCCGCCGAGCCCCGGGCCGAGGCCGCCCCGCCCCCGCCCCCCGCGCGCCGCCGCCGACACGAGGCAGGGAGGAAGGGGCGGCGCCGCGACCCGCCGGGCACCCGCGCCCCGCAGCCCGCCCGCCGCCCGCCGCCCGCCGCCCGCCGCCCGCCGCCUUCCCUGCGGCACAAAAGGCUGCAGGCGGCCCCGCCGGCCCCGCGCGACCUACCGGCGGCCCACGGCUCCGCCGCCGCGCCGGGCCCGGGCCUCGGACCGACCCCGGGCGGAGGGAGGCGCGCCGGGGCCGCGGCGCACGGAUCCGGCACAGGCCGCCGGGCGCGCCAGCCGCGGACCCGCUCCUCGCCCGCCGCGCUCGCCGCCAGCGGCCGCCCGGCCUCGCCUCGCCCCGCCCCUCCGCGCCCCCCGCGCCCCCGCCCCCCCGCGCUCCGCCCUCCCCUCCCCCUCCGCGCUCCGCCCUCCGCCCUCCGCGCGCCUCCCCGCGCCCCGCCCCCGCGCCCGCGCCCCGCGCCCCGCCCUCCACGCUCCACCCCGCCCCCCACCGCCCUCCGCCUCCCUCCUCCCCCCACCGCCGCCACGCUCCGCCCUCACCCCCCCCGCUUUCCUCCGCGCUCCGCCUUCCUCCCUCCGCUCAGCGCGCUCCGCUCCCCGCGCUCCGCCCUCCCCCUCCCCUCCCUCCACGCUCCGCCUCCUCCUCCCCUUCCUCCUCCCUCCGCCUCCUCCCCCUCCUCCUCCCUCCCCCUCCCCCCUCCUCCCUCCGCCCUCCCCCCUGGGCCGCACCCCGUCAGCCGUCAGCAGCGAGCCCGCCUCCGCGCGCCGCCGCCCAGACACCCCGACGCAGGGGGCGGCGAGGGAAGGGCGCUCGGAGGCCUCAAGGGGCGGCGGGCGGGGCGGGCGGGUUGGGGGCAGGGGUCCGACACCCCGAGGCCUGGCGGCUGCGCUGCUCCUGUGCUGCGAGGCUCGGCCUCAGGGCCUGGGCGCCAGCACCCUAGCCGGGCCGGAGCCCCAAUCAUUAUAG